AGUGUUUAUCACGAUCUGACCCGCUAACAAUAAUAAUAACUGGGCUUAAGCAUUUUGUUCUGGUUGUUUUGGCCCAAAAAGUUUUUAUUGCUAGCUAGUGGAUCAAGUCACCGGCCAGAAGUGUGAUAUGAGUUUUGGCUGAGCCAGGGUCGGAAUGACAGAAAAAGCCAAGGUCGGUGAAUGAUAGACUAAGUUAGAGUUGGAAUGACAAGGUUA
RNAcentral lists this long non-coding RNA (216 nucleotides) under Ananas comosus (pineapple). RNAcentral's name for it is "long non-coding RNA (ACOM_LNC002386)". The record is from RNAcentral. Lineage: Eukaryota; Viridiplantae; Streptophyta; Magnoliopsida; Poales; Bromeliaceae.